Homo sapiens (human) is the source of this 284-nucleotide non-coding RNA. It matches the Rfam family "Metazoan signal recognition particle RNA". Rfam says of the family: The signal recognition particle (SRP) is a universally conserved ribonucleoprotein. It is involved in the co-translational targeting of proteins to membranes. The eukaryotic SRP consists of a 300-nucleotide 7S RNA and six proteins: SRPs 72, 68, 54, 19, 14, and 9. NCBI's taxonomy places the organism in Eukaryota, Metazoa, Chordata, Mammalia, Primates, Hominidae. The record is from Rfam.
GCCUGGUGCACUGGUGUGUGCCUGUAGUCCCAGCUACUCAGGAGACUGAGGCAGGAGGAUCGCUUGAAUCUAGAAGUUCUGGGCUAUAGUGCACUAUGAUGAUGGGAUAUCCACACCAAGUUUGGCAUCACCACAGUGUCCUUCCAGGAGCGGGGUGCCCCAUUGCUCAGGGAGGGGUGAACCCGCUCAGGUUAGAAACAGAGCAGGUCAAAACUCCUGUGCUGAUCAUUAGUGGGAUUAUGCCUGCACUCCAGCCUGGGCAGCAUAAUGAAAUGCUGUCUUUU